This 460-nucleotide ribosomal RNA is filed under the name uncultured bacterium. Its description in RNAcentral is "partial 16S ribosomal RNA". It matches the Rfam family "Bacterial small subunit ribosomal RNA", at positions 338 to 795 of the family's 1533-position model. The record is from RNAcentral.
CCUACGGGAGGCUGCAGUGAGGAAUAUUGGUCAAUGGACGAGAGCCUGAACCAGCCAAGUAGCGUGAAGGAUGACUGCCCUAUGGGUUGUAAACUUCUUUUAUAUGGGAAUAAAGUGUUCCACGUGUGGGAUUUUGUAUGUACCAUAUGAAUAAGGAUCGGCUAACUCCGUGCCAGCAGCCGCGGUAAUACGGAGGAUCCGAGCGUUAUCCGGAUUUAUUGGGUUUAAAGGGAGCGUAGGUGGGUUGUUAAGUCAGUUGUGAAAGUUUGCGGCUCAACCGUAAAAUUGCAGUUGAUACUGGCAGUCUUGAGUACAGUAGAGGUGGGCGGAAUUCGUGGUGUAGCGGUGAAAUGCUUAGAUAUCACGAAGAACUCCGAUUGCGAAGGCAGCUCACUAAACUGCAACUGACAUUGAGGCUCGAAAGUGUGGGUAUCAAACAGGAUUAGAUACCCCAGUAGUC